UCCGGAGGGUGCAAACGUUGCUCGGAAUCAUUGGGCGUAAAGCGCACGUAGGUGGCUUGUUAAGUCGGGUGUGAAAUCCCUGGGCUCAACCCAGGAAGUGCACUCGAAACUGGCGAGCUUGAGUACUGAAGAGGGUCGCGGAAUUCCCGGUGUAGAGGUGAAAUUCGUAGAUAUCGGGAGGAACACCAGUGGCGAAGGCGGCGACCUGGGCAGAUACUGACACUGAGGUGCGAAAGCGUGGGGAGCAAACAGG
This 253-nucleotide ribosomal RNA is filed under the name uncultured bacterium. Its description in RNAcentral is "partial 16S ribosomal RNA". It matches the Rfam family "Bacterial small subunit ribosomal RNA", at positions 524 to 776 of the family's 1533-position model. The record is from RNAcentral.